Long non-coding RNA from Herpailurus yagouaroundi (jaguarundi), 1161 nucleotides. RefSeq lists it as uncharacterized. The transcript has 2 exons. NCBI's taxonomy places the organism in Eukaryota, Metazoa, Chordata, Mammalia, Carnivora, Felidae. The record is from RefSeq and is a predicted model, not a curated record.
CUGAGAGCGUGGAGCCUGCUUGGGGUUCUCUUUCUCUGCCCCUCCCCCACUCGUGCACGCCUGCUCGCUCUCAAAAUAAACCUAAAAACUAUAUCAAACCUCAUUUGGCACUUUUUGAAAUAACUUAUGGCUUCAGUGUUCCUGCCGGUAGUAACCUCUCUGCUCCUCUAAGUUUGCAGUUCCUGCUGUGUUUACGAAUGUGAUGGUGUGAUAACUCGUGUUGUUCUGAGUACGCUCUAGAAGUGCCCGUGACAUGUUUGUGACCUGUUUGGCUGUUCAGAUACAAAUUGCACAUUUUUCUUAUAACCGUAUGCUCGAUAGCUGGGUUUCAGAGAGUUAUGCAUUUGCUAUUUCUAGAGGGAAAAGAGUGGUCUUCUUUGUCUAGCCUCACAAAUCCUGUUCAAAAAGUCAUGGCAAACAUCACAUUCAUGGAUAGAAUGACCGUCUGUUUAUGAUCACUCAAGAGGUAGUAUUCUACUUAUUACUUGAACCAGUUUCUGGGAAGGUGUCAAAAGCACUUGAAAAUAAAAGCUUUUCCCACAUGAAGUCUAAAUCCAGAAUCUUUGAAGAUGAAUCUUUUAUCGCCACAAAUAAGUUCCUCAGAGUCUUAAUCAAAUUGUAAAUUUAUGCAUAGUAAAAAAUUUCAUACAAUACUAGCUGUGGUAGUCUGACUUUGUAAUUGCCUGCCUUCUCUCGAAAUGGUUUUUAAGUAUUAUCCCUUUGCAUCCAUUUAUUUACCUGUCCUAAGAACCCUGACAGAUUUCUGUCCAAUCGUUUGCUUUGCAUUUUUGCACACGUUGCCUUCAGUCUUUUGGGGCAUCCUGUCACCCAUCCGUGCCAGGAAACCGUUAGAAUGACUUCCUUCACUUUCUCUACAGAUGUGGAAGCAGAGGCCCAGCCUUCCUCUAAGCCCAUGAUCAAGGUUCUCAUAUAUUUGCAGACUGUGUUGUCACAAAGUAAAACAUUAUUUUGAGGAAAUUAUGCAACAGAACUGAGAAAAGUUAGUUAUAAAUAGACUUGUCAUUGGAUACCAUGAAUUUCAAAGCAUGAUAGGAAAACUGAUGAAUAUGGAAUAUGUGGCUAAUCUACCAUCUUGCCACAAAUUCCUGGGAAAUAUGGAAACGGAACACUGCUAUUGGUUGCUCUGUCAUCUAAAAAAAA